Molecule: ribosomal RNA, 498 nt
Filed under: uncultured Sphingobacteriales bacterium
Lineage: Bacteria; Pseudomonadati; Bacteroidota; Sphingobacteriia; Sphingobacteriales
Description: bacterial SSU rRNA
Rfam family: Bacterial small subunit ribosomal RNA
Source: RNAcentral
GCCAGCCCGCUCAGAAACUUAAAUGAAUUGACGGGGGCCCGCACAAGCGGAGGAGCAUGUGGUUUAAUUCGAUGAUACGCGAGGAACCUUACCUGGGCUCGAACGUAAGAUGACUGUAGGUGAAAGCUUACAUCUCUUCGGAGCAUUUUACGAGGUGCUGCAUGGUUGUCGUCAGCUCGUGCCGUGAGGUGUCGGGUUAAGUCCCAUAACGAGCGCAACCCCUACCUUUAGUUGCCAUCAGGUUAAGCUGGGGACUCUAAAGGAACUGCCUACGCAAGUAGUGAGGAAGGCGGGGAUGACGUCAAAUCAGCACGGCCCUUACGUCCAGGGCUACACACGUGCUACAAUGGCCGAUACAGAGGGCAGCUACCUGGUGACAGGAUGCAAAUCUCCAAAGUCGGUCUCAGUUCGGAUCGGAGUCUGCAACCCGACUCCGUGAAGUUGGAAUCGCUAGUAAUCGUGGAUCAGCAUGCCACGGUGAAUACGUUCCCGGGCCUU